Panicum virgatum (switchgrass) is the source of this 1039-nucleotide long non-coding RNA. RefSeq lists it as uncharacterized. The record is from RefSeq and is a predicted model, not a curated record. Lineage: Eukaryota; Viridiplantae; Streptophyta; Magnoliopsida; Poales; Poaceae. The transcript is spliced from 3 exons.
CCUGCCUACCUCCAUCUAUCUUGCACCUCCAUUGUCUUCCUCCUGUAAACCGCCCCCUCCCCCGCUUAAUUUCCUCUGCUUUGCCCCUGCUGCUGCAGAGCGCCGAGGUGGAUCCCCCAUGUCCAGCGCCGCCUCUGCCGACUCGGAGGAGAUCAGGGCGCGCGUCGUCCUCCAUGCGGAUGCCGCCGACGAGUGGGCGCGCCCAGAGCUCGAGGCCUUCCACCUGCCCUCCCAAUGAUCUCUAGCGCCGUCGUCGCCAUGAGCGACCACUCCGACCCCGACUCCUCCCCCAAGUCCUCCUCCCCCUCCGCCCGUCGCUGCUCCUCGCCGCAGCGCGGCCAGGACCACUCCAACUAGAGCGGCAGCAGAGAUGGCGUCCUCGUCGAGCUUCUCGCGCAGGAAGCGCCAAGCCUUGGGGCGGACCCGGACGGCGGCGUCGUCGUGAACAAGCCGGCCGGCGACCUCGCCGCCACGGGCUCCCGCUCCACGCACGCUCGCGCUGGACGAGUCCAUGGCCGUCAUCGACUUCCCUGUGGUGUCAAGCGCUGGCGCCGAGCUCCGCAAGUACCAGGAAAAGAAGGAGGUGUGACGGGCGCGAGCAACUGCAGGGACGACGCAGCGGGAGAGCUCGAGCGCAGCGGCGCCCACGCCGAGGAGCGCGAACUCGGCGUCGGCCAUCACCGCGAGGCCGUCGGGAAGAGGGAGUGGCGAGCGCGGAGUGCGUGGCCAAGGAGCAAGAGGCCGAGAGGGAAGAGAACCGCGACCCGCAGGUGAAGAUGCCGCACGGCCAGGCUCGAGCUGCUGCCGUCGACGAGAAGAACCUGGACGCCGGCAUCGAGGAGGAGAGCAACGCGGGGAAGAGACAGCGAGUGGAGGAGAGGCACGAGUGGGUAGGGGCACAGGGGUCAUUUCGCGUGCGUCUUCCACACUGGCGAGGUGAUAUGGCUCCAUCUGGCUCGCCACGUCAGCUAAAUUGGCAAAAGAUUAGCUUCGUGUUGAAGACUGGCAAAAAAUUAGUUUCAUUUGGAAGGAUGGCAAA